RNAcentral lists this unclassified non-coding RNA (520 nucleotides) under uncultured Glomus. RNAcentral's name for it is "SSU rRNA". It matches the Rfam family "Eukaryotic small subunit ribosomal RNA", at positions 569 to 1089 of the family's 1831-position model. Lineage: Eukaryota; Fungi; Glomeromycota; Glomeromycetes; Glomerales; Glomeraceae. The record is from RNAcentral.
AGCAGCCGCGGUAAUUCCAGCUCCAAUAGCGUAUAUUAAAGUUGUUGCAGUUAAAAGCUCGUAGUUGAAUUUCGGGGUUAGUAGGUUGGUCAUGCCUCUGGUAUGUACUGGUCUCACUGAUUCCUCCUUCCUGAUGAACCUUAAUGCCAUUAAUUUGGUGUUUUGGGGAAUUUGGACUGUUACUUUGAAAAAAUUAGAGUGUUUAAAGCAGGCAUUUUGCUUGAAUACAUUAGCAUGGAAUAAUAAAAUAGGACGGCAUGAUUCUAUUUUGUUGGUUUCUAGGAUCACCGUAAUGAUUAAUAGGGAUAGUUGGGGGCAUUAGUAUUCAAUUGUCAGAGGUGAAAUUCUUGGAUUUAUUGAAGACUAACUACUGCGAAAGCAUUUGCCAAGGAUGUUUUCAUUAAUCAAGAACGAAAGUUAGGGGAUCGAAGACGAUCGGAUACCGUCGUAGUCUUAACCAUAAACUAUGCCGACUAGGAAUCAGACGAUGUUAAUUUUUUAAUGACUCGUUUGGCACCUU